UUUUUUUUUUAUUUUUGCACAUUCUUGUGACAUUUCCCAUUGUAGGGAACAGGAGUUUAGCAAAAUCAGCUUCUUAGAUGAUGUCAUUCUAAAUAUACAUCUUAAACAAACAAUAUCAAAACCACCAGUAGGAAACUGAAAAACACUCAGUGAGUACUGUUUUGUCUCAGUAACAAUAAAUACAAAAAGACUGGUUGUGUUCCGGCCCCAUCCAACCACGAAGUUGAUUUCUCUUGUGUGCAGAGUGACUGAUUUUAAAGGACAUGGAG
Molecule: long non-coding RNA, 269 nt
Filed under: Homo sapiens (human)
Lineage: Eukaryota; Metazoa; Chordata; Mammalia; Primates; Hominidae
Description: non-protein coding lnc-TTC23-4:1
Source: RNAcentral